GACGAACGCUGGCGGCGUGCUUAACACAUGCAAGUCGAACGGAAAGGCCCUGCUUGUGUGGGGUGCUCGUGUGGCGAGCGGGUGUGUCACACGUGUGUAACCUGCCCUACAUUUUGGGAUAACUUCAGGACACUGGGGCUUAUUGCGGAGAGGAGCUCCUGCUGCAUGGUGGUGGUUGGAUUGGUUCGGCUGUUGGGGGUGGUCUCGCGGCUUAUCCGCUUGUUGGUGGUGUAGUGGAAUACCAAGGCGUUGGCGGGUAGCCGGUCUGAGAGGGUGACCGGCAUUAGUGGGACUGAGAGACGGACAAGACUCCGACGGGAGGCAGUAGUGGGGAAUAUUGCACGAGGGGCAGAAGGCUGCUGCAGCGACGCCGCGUGCGUGAUGACGGCCUUCUGGCUGUAAACCGUCUGCGACUGUGACGAAGCGGUAGUGACGGUAAUGGGAAAAGAAGCACCGGCUAACUACGUG
Molecule: ribosomal RNA, 468 nt
Filed under: uncultured bacterium
Lineage: Bacteria
Description: partial 16S ribosomal RNA
Rfam family: Bacterial small subunit ribosomal RNA
Source: RNAcentral